GAAAUGCGAUAAGUAGUGUGAAUUGCAGAAUUCAGUGAAUCAUCGAAUCUUUGAACGCACAUUGCGCCCUUUGGUAUUCCUCAGGGCAUGCCUGUUCGAGCGUCAUCUAAACCUUCAAGCCCUGCUUGGUGUUGGGUGCCUGUCCCGCCUCCGCGCGCGGACUCACCUCAAAUCCAUUGGCGGCCCCCGCGUCGGCCACGAGCGCAGCAGAAACGCGAACUCGUGAGCCCGUCCGGGCGGCUCCCAGAAGCUACACCCACCCAGUUUGACCUCGGAUCAGGUAGGGAUACCCGCUGAACUUAAGC
This 305-nucleotide unclassified non-coding RNA is filed under the name plant metagenome. RNAcentral describes it as "partial contains 5.8S ribosomal RNA, internal transcribed spacer 2, and large subunit ribosomal RNA". The stretch from base 1 to 105 matches the Rfam family "5.8S ribosomal RNA", at positions 50 to 154 of the family's 154-position model. The record is from RNAcentral.